Long non-coding RNA from Cyprinodon variegatus (sheepshead minnow), 744 nucleotides. RefSeq lists it as uncharacterized. The transcript has 4 exons. The record is from RefSeq and is a predicted model, not a curated record. Lineage: Eukaryota; Metazoa; Chordata; Actinopteri; Cyprinodontiformes; Cyprinodontidae.
GAUAUGUAAUCCCUACCCACCACUGAGGAUGAACAGAGCAUUCUUCAGCAGUAUGACCGUCACCAGGUUUUCUCUUGUGUUUUCUGUCUGUUUAGUGACUCUUCUUGUUUGGGGAUGUACUACAGGGAUUUGUCUGGUUAAUGACAAUGUAACCGCACAACCAGUUACGACAGCAACAACCACAGGUUAUAAUGCAACGCAAAGAAUGGAUAGAGGGACAUCUCCUGGUGUGUUUUGUCAAAAGGAUCCAAGAUAAACUCCUGAGGAGGUCUCCAACAGAGGGGUCACCAGCAGUAGACGUGAGGCCCAUAAAGGCUUCAGGGUUAGGGGUUAAAUGAAACCUCAUUACACCCUCCCUCACCAACUCCCCCCCACCCCCAACUGGAUCGACUUCCUGACUUUGUUCGUCAUUCACCCCAUGCAACGUCAGAGAUCAACGCAUGAACUCGAAAUUGUGAAACAACUGGAACUUGGAGCAGAGCCCCUUUCACUGUUCCUCAUCCUGUGCCUUACUGUUUUUUUUCUUUCCCCAACUGUCCCUCCACCCCUUUCUCCUGCCAACACUCCCGACUGCGGGCUCCUCCUCAGCUGAACAGACACAUUUCCUGAUGUCAUUAGUAAAUCAAAAUGCUGCUCAGCCAGCAGAUGUUGCAUGAGGUUGAACACGUAGAUUUUGUAACAUAAAUGUAAGGCGGGAAAAAACAUAGUUCUUUUGUUAAAUUAAGGACCACCUACCUGUGUGUG